This 450-nucleotide ribosomal RNA is filed under the name uncultured bacterium. RNAcentral describes it as "partial 16S ribosomal RNA". It matches the Rfam family "Bacterial small subunit ribosomal RNA", at positions 354 to 796 of the family's 1533-position model. The record is from RNAcentral.
GUGGGGAAUCUUCCGCAAUGGACGAAAGUCUGACGGAGCAACGCCGCGUGAGUGAUGAAGGUCUUCGGAUUGUAAAGCUCUGUUAAUCGGGACGAAAGAGCCUAGUGUGAAUAAUGCUAGGAAGUGACGGUACCGGAAUAGAAAGCCACGGCUAACUACGUGCCAGCAGCCGCGGUAAUACGUAGGUGGCAAGCGUUGUCCGGAAUUAUUGGGCGUAAAGCGCGCGCAGGCGGAUCCGCCAGUCUGUCUUAAAAGUUCGGGGCUUAACCCCGUGAUGGGAUGGAAACUACAGAUCUAGAGUAUCGGAGAGGAAAGUGGAAUUCCUAGUGUAGCGGUGAAAUGCGUAGAUAUUAGGAAGAACACCAGUGGCGAAGGCGACCACCUGGACUGAUACUGACACUGAGGUGCGAAAGCGUGGGGAGCAAACAGGAUUAGAUACCCUAGUAGUCC